RNAcentral lists this transfer RNA (71 nucleotides) under Ictidomys tridecemlineatus (thirteen-lined ground squirrel). RNAcentral describes it as "Spermophilus tridecemlineatus (thirteen-lined ground squirrel) tRNA". It matches the Rfam family "tRNA". Rfam says of the family: Transfer RNA (tRNA) molecules are approximately 80 nucleotides in length. Their secondary structure includes four short double-helical elements and three loops (D, anti-codon, and T loops). Lineage: Eukaryota; Metazoa; Chordata; Mammalia; Rodentia; Sciuridae. The record is from Rfam by way of RNAcentral.
GGGAUUGUGGCUCAGUGGUAGAGCGCUUGCCUAGCAUGCAUGAGGCCCUGGGUUCAAUCCCUGGAGGCUCA